This is a long non-coding RNA of Lycium barbarum (goji berry), 1121 nucleotides long. RefSeq lists it as uncharacterized. NCBI's taxonomy places the organism in Eukaryota, Viridiplantae, Streptophyta, Magnoliopsida, Solanales, Solanaceae. The transcript is spliced from 3 exons. The record is from RefSeq and is a predicted model, not a curated record.
UUUUCAAAUACUCCAGCCGCCGACCCAUUUUCCAUCCCAACUCCGGCCGCCUUCAUAACUCCGACCAUUGACGUGAUGACGACGACAUCAUCCUCUUUGUCCUUCCACGGAGUCGAAGUAAAUCAUUAUCGAUUUUUCAUCUUAUAAAGAAGUUGCUAAUACCUUGUCUUCAAACUCCAUGAAAAGUUCAAUUGAGCAAUCUUUAUCCAACGAAACACUUCUCUUCUUAUUAUUCUUUUUGUAUGGAAACGAAUUUUGUAUUGUUAUGAUGAAAUGAGCGGUGGUUAUGGUGGUUUGUGACUAUGCUUUAAAGGUGGAAUGAAUGUAUGUAUGGUAUAUAUUAUGUAUAUGUUAGUAUCUGUCUUAUGUAUCACAUAAUACAUAUAGUGACAUACCCACGGCAUACGUGUACAUACAACAACAUAUAAAUAUGUAUAUUAUUAUAUGUUGCGCGUAUAUCACGUGUAUGUCUUGUGUAAGUCAAUGUAUGUGAUGCAUAUGACAAAGUGUAUAUAAUAACAUACACAUGAUAUACAAUCUAUACAUGGAAAAAAUAAGUUCUGGAAGCCAUAGGAGAGAACUCCCUCCAAAAAAACUCUGGUGAACAAAACAUCAAAGGACAGAGUCGACGGUGGGAAUGGAACAACGACGAAAAAAGAAAAAAAAAACUAGGGGAGAGAAGCUCGUGCGAUUUUCUCGCGAAGCAUCGAUUGUCGGCAACAGAGUAGUGGUGGCGGGGCACCGGGUCAGGGAUGGAAGGAGGGGUGUUCAUGGUACGGCAUGGAUUUGUAAGGAGGAAGAUGAUCAUGAGCUUUCUGAAGUGCGAUGCAAUUAUGGGUUUUUAUUGCCUUUGAUGACCUCUUGGACCCCAAGGAACCCGGGUAGAAGAUAUUGGAGUUGUCCAUACUAUGGUGGUGCUAGAUCAUGUGAUUUUUAUCGUUGAAAGGAUGAUGAGAUUGAUCCAAGAUCCAAAUUUGUGAUUCCUAAACUAGUGAGAAGAAUUGGAGAACUUGAAACAUCAUUUGAAGCUUCCACAAAAGUUGAUGACAAGCCUACUAUGUCUACAAAAUCUGUAGAAAGCAACAUUGAUAUGGAAAGCAUAGAUAUUGAAAGGAUAAUUU